RNAcentral lists this ribosomal RNA (324 nucleotides) under uncultured eukaryote. RNAcentral's name for it is "partial 18S ribosomal RNA". It matches the Rfam family "Eukaryotic small subunit ribosomal RNA", at positions 1470 to 1796 of the family's 1831-position model. The record is from RNAcentral.
CCCUUAGAUGUUCUGGGCUGCACGCGCGCUACACUGAUGCGAUCAACAAGUUUUUCCUAUGUCGAUAGACACGGGUAAUCUUUUGAACUCGCAUCGUGAUGGGGAUAGAUUAUUGAAAUUAUUAAUCUUCAACGAGGAAUUCCUAGUAGGUGCAAAUCAUCAGUUUGCAUCGAUUACGUCCCUGCCCUUUGUACACACCGCCCGUCGCUGCUACCGAUUGGUUGAUCUGGUGAAUUAUUCGGACUGCCGGCUGAAGGGGUUUCCUCAUCUGCCAGCGGAAAGUCUUGUUAACCCUAUCAACUAGAGGAAGCAGAAGUCGUAACA